GCCCUCAUCGUCUAGUGGCCUAGGACGCAGCCCUCUCAAGGCUGAAACCGGGGUUCGACUCCCCGUGGGGGUA
This 73-nucleotide transfer RNA is filed under the name Chloroflexota bacterium. RNAcentral describes it as "Chloroflexi bacterium tRNA-Glu". It matches the Rfam family "tRNA". Rfam says of the family: Transfer RNA (tRNA) molecules are approximately 80 nucleotides in length. Their secondary structure includes four short double-helical elements and three loops (D, anti-codon, and T loops). The record is from RNAcentral. Lineage: Bacteria; Bacillati; Chloroflexota.